UGCCACGGGACGCAGCAGUGGGGAAUAUUGGGCAAUGGGCGCAAGCCUGACCCAGCAAUGCCGCGUGAAGGAAGAAGGCCCUCGGGUUGUAAACUUCUUUUAUCAGGGACGAAGGAUGUGACGGUACCUGAUGAAUAAGCUCCGGCUAACUACGUGCCAGCAGCCGCGGUAAUACGUAGGGAGCAAGCGUUAUCCGGAUUUACUGGGUGUAAAGGGCGCGUAGGCGGGAUGGCAAGUCAGAUGUGAAAUCCGGGGGCUCAACCCCUGAACUGCAUUUGAAACUGUUGGUCUUGAGUAUCGGAGAG
RNAcentral lists this ribosomal RNA (305 nucleotides) under uncultured bacterium. Its description in RNAcentral is "bacterial SSU rRNA". It matches the Rfam family "Bacterial small subunit ribosomal RNA", at positions 337 to 656 of the family's 1533-position model. The record is from RNAcentral.